Molecule: small RNA, 101 nt
Filed under: Sporanaerobacter acetigenes DSM 13106
Lineage: Bacteria; Bacillati; Bacillota; Tissierellia; Tissierellales; Sporanaerobacteraceae
Description: Clostridioides difficile sRNA included into helicase gene
Source: Rfam by way of RNAcentral
UUCUAUAAGGGAAAUUAUGAUUUGCUGGAAGAAGAAAGAAGACUUUUCUAUGUUGGAAUGACUAGAGCCAAAGAAGUGCUAGAUCUUGUCACUAUCAAAAA